This 465-nucleotide ribosomal RNA is filed under the name uncultured bacterium. RNAcentral describes it as "partial 16S ribosomal RNA". It matches the Rfam family "Bacterial small subunit ribosomal RNA", at positions 29 to 507 of the family's 1533-position model. The record is from RNAcentral.
AUGAACGCUGGCGGCGUGCUUCACCCCUGCCCGUCGAACGAUGAAGCCCAGCUUGCUGGGUGGAUUAGUGGCGAACGGGUGAGUAACACGUGAGUAACCUGCCCUUGACUCUGGGAUAAGCCUGGGAAACUGGGUCUAAUACUGGAUAUGACUUCUCAUCGCAUGGUGGGGGGUGGAAAGAUUUAUUGGUCUUGGAUGGACUCGCGGCCUAUCAGCUUGUUGGUGAGGUAAUGGCUCACCAAGGCGACGACGGGUAGCCGGCCUGAGAGGGUGACCGGCCACACUGGGACUGAGACACGGCCCAGACUCCUACGGGAGGCAGCAGCGGGGAAUAUUGCACAAUGGGCGCAAGCCUGAUGCAGCGACGCCGCGUGAGGGAUGACGGCCUUCGGGUUGUAAACCUCUUUCAGUAGGGAAGAAGCGAGAGUGACGGUACCUGCAGAAGAAGCGCCGGCUAACUACGUG